RNAcentral lists this microRNA precursor (68 nucleotides) under Patiria miniata (bat star). Its description in RNAcentral is "Pmi-Let-7_pre stem-loop". The record is from RNAcentral. Lineage: Eukaryota; Metazoa; Echinodermata; Asteroidea; Valvatida; Asterinidae.
UGAGGUAGUCGGUUGUAAAGAUAAGAAAUACACCUGAAGGCGAUAUCUAUACAACCCACUAACUUUCC